GUCUACAGACAUGCCACCCUGAACACGCCCGAUCUCAUCCGAUCUCGGAAGCUAAGCAGGGUUAGUACUUGGAUGGGAGACCACCUAGGAAGACCGGGUACUGUAGGCU
Molecule: ribosomal RNA, 109 nt
Filed under: Pteropus alecto (black flying fox)
Lineage: Eukaryota; Metazoa; Chordata; Mammalia; Chiroptera; Pteropodidae
Source: RNAcentral